Molecule: long non-coding RNA, 202 nt
Filed under: Brassica napus (rape)
Lineage: Eukaryota; Viridiplantae; Streptophyta; Magnoliopsida; Brassicales; Brassicaceae
Description: long non-coding RNA (BNAP_LNC013970)
Source: RNAcentral
GAAAAAUUACCUAACCUUCCUAUAAGCAUAAAAAUUCACUAUUUGCCUUCUGACUUUCGGGCAUUAACUCCAUCCAACUCGCCUAACUUGUCUAACUUGCCUAACCGCACACUAGAACCUCGUGUCGACAAUCCACGGUUCUAACGAGCUGGGGGCUAGCUAUUGGUGUCAAAAAGGUCACGACAGAAUUAACACCUGAAUG